This 500-nucleotide ribosomal RNA is filed under the name uncultured Candidatus Saccharibacteria bacterium. RNAcentral's name for it is "bacterial SSU rRNA". It matches the Rfam family "Bacterial small subunit ribosomal RNA", at positions 120 to 650 of the family's 1533-position model. Lineage: Bacteria; Candidatus Saccharimonadota. The record is from RNAcentral.
GGGAACGUGCCCCAAAGUGAGGGAUAACGCACCGAAAGGUGUGCUAAUACCGCAUAUGAUCCUCGGAUUAAAGAAUUUAUUCGCUUUGGGAGCGGCCCGCGUCGGAUUAGAUAGUUGGUGAGGUAAUGGCUCACCAAGUCGACGAUCCGUAGCUGGUCUGAGAGGAUGAUCAGCCAGACUGGGACUGAGACACGGCCCAGACUCCUACGGGAGGCAGCAGUAAGGAAUCUUCCACAAUGGGGGCAACCCUGAUGGAGCAACGCCGCGUGCAGGAUGAAGGCCUUCGGGUUGUAAACUGCUUUUAUAAGUGAGGAAUAUGACGGUAACUUAUGAAUAAGGAUCGGCUAACUACGUGCCAGCAGCCGCGGUCAUACGUAGGAUCCGAGCGUUAUCCGGAGUGACUGGGCGUAAAGAGUUGCGUAGGCGGUUAGUAAAGCGAAUAGUGAAACCUGGUGGCUCAACCAUACAGACUAUUAUUCGAACUCACUAACUCGAGAGUA